UACGGAGGGUGCAAGCGUUAUUCGGAAUUAUUGGGUGUAAAGCGCGUGUAGGCGGUUUGGUAAGUCAGAUGUGAAAGCUCCGGGCUUAACUCGGAAAGUGCAUUUGAUACUGCCAGACUUGAGUGUGGGAGAGGAAGGUGGAAUUCCCAGUGUAGAGGUGAAAUUCGUAGAUAUUGGGAGGAACACCGGUGGCGAAGGCGACCUUCUGGACCACUACUGACGCUGAGACGCGAAAGCGUGGGGAGCGAACAGGAUUAGAUACCCGCGUA
Molecule: ribosomal RNA, 269 nt
Filed under: uncultured prokaryote
Description: partial 16S ribosomal RNA
Rfam family: Bacterial small subunit ribosomal RNA
Source: RNAcentral